AGAGUUUGAUCAUGGCUCAGAUUGAACGCUGGCGGCAGGCCUAACACAUGCAAGUCGAGCGGCAGCGACAACAUUGAACCUUCGGGGGAUUUGUUGGGCGGCGAGCGGCGGACGGGUGAGUAAUGCCUGGGAAAUUGCCCUGAUGUGGGGGAUAACCAUUGGAAACGAUGGCUAAUACCGCAUGAUAGCUUCGGCUCAAAGAGGGGGACCUUCGGGCCUCUCGCGUCAGGAUAUGCCCAGGUGGGAUUAGCUAGUUGGUGAGGUAAGGGCUCACCAAGGCGACGAUCCCUAGCUGGUCUGAGAGGAUGAUCAGCCACACUGGAACUGAGACACGGUCCAGACUCCUACGGGAGGCAGCAGUGGGGAAUAUUGCACAAUGGGCGCAAGCCUGAUGCAGCCAUGCCGCGUGUAUGAAGAAGGCCUUCGGGUUGUAAAGUACUUUCAGCAGUGAGGAAGGGGAUAUCGUUAAUAGCGGUAUUCUUUGACGUUAGCUGCAGAAGAAGCACCGGCUAACUCCGUGCCAGCAGCCGCGGUAAUACGGAGGGUGCGAGCGUUAAUCGGAAUUACUGGGCGUAAAGCGCAUGCAGGUGGUUUGUUAAGUCAGAUGUGAAAGCCCGGGGCUCAACCUCGGAAUUGCAUUUGAAACUGGCAGGCUAGAGUACUGU
RNAcentral lists this ribosomal RNA (665 nucleotides) under Vibrio furnissii CIP 102972. Its description in RNAcentral is "bacterial SSU rRNA". It matches the Rfam family "Bacterial small subunit ribosomal RNA", at positions 8 to 652 of the family's 1533-position model. Lineage: Bacteria; Pseudomonadati; Pseudomonadota; Gammaproteobacteria; Vibrionales; Vibrionaceae. The record is from RNAcentral.